RNAcentral lists this long non-coding RNA (2624 nucleotides) under Oryza sativa (Asian cultivated rice). RNAcentral's name for it is "long non-coding RNA (OSAT_LNC001405)". The record is from RNAcentral. Lineage: Eukaryota; Viridiplantae; Streptophyta; Magnoliopsida; Poales; Poaceae.
CCGUACAAUAAUAUGUUCCAACCACUAAUCGUGUAAAUCUAAAUAGGAUGGAGGUCCAAGGUGGUCGCACCCCAGGUGCGGAAUUGGGCCUAGGUGUUGGGUCCCAAAACUAAUGAUUCAGAAACCGACAUAUUUAACUGUAUCAAGCCCUGAAUCGGUAGAUUGAUACAGGUUCAACAAUCUGGAUCUUUAUCGCAUACAUUUGGUCAAGACUCCAAAGGAGAUAUAUUUAUAUAAAAUAAUAGGACAUUUACAAAUUUGUGGCUAACUAUUACAGCAGAAGCUAUACUGUGACCCAAUUCUGCCGUUUUACUAUAGAAUUAAACCGUCUAACUAUACUAGACUUGAAGACUAGUUUUAAAGGAAACUAACUUAUGUGAUUGAACUCCCAGCUUCGGCAAAAACUCCAAAUAGACUCUGAAAAAGAGGGGUUGAAGUAAGGAUAAGUACAACGUACUAAGCAAGCUAUUAUAUUAUUCAACAAUGAAUGCAUGAGAGGUAAUAUCUGUGUAGAGCUAGAUUUACUUGCAGAAAGCAGAGAAUAUAGAAGUAGAAAACCUGUAAUGUUUUAAAUGCAGAAGUAUUUAAUAAAAUUUCAAAUUAGGUUUCUAUCCAAGAUGCCAUAGUGAGUCCCAAUGCCCGAUAACCGCGAGCACGGCUAUUUGAAUAGUUUUGAGGAUAUUCAUACUGCAGUAGAUGUACGCUUUACCCGCAAUCCAUGACGUGCCAAACACAUUAGCCUUGUUAUGGCAAAGCUUUUCGGUUACUAACAUCAGUGGUACCUGUUCCAUGAACUAUAAUCCCCAUACGCUCUGAACGUAACAUUAUCAGCAGUGAGAGGAGUUAUGGCGUUCCCGGGGUCUUUAGAGAGAUCUGAUUGUAUGACACCAUGUCAUCGCAAUCAGGGUUCACAAACAAGUCACAUGACAUCAUAAUUUAUCUCAAACAAAUAUUUACCUGCGCCUCGGUAAAUAUCACAAUAUUGCCCUUCGCGGCAUAAAUUUGCCUCCUGCGCGAGGACUUAAAUAAGAACCACUACACAGAGGUACCACCUUUGCUAGAUAACUUAAUCAGCUAGGUCUAUGCCCAUACGAGAAUUGCGGUCGUACUCGUAUGUUCUUCACAUGUACUUGGUAGUCUUAUGUCGGUUGGAACAGUACUAGCCACCCGGAAAUCAACCAUUUCUACCGUACUGUCCCAAUCUAAGUUCAUUAUAUUUUAUGCAGUCUAACUAGGCAGGGCUAAGCAAAAGCUAGCAUAUCUGGUUUGCUAUGUUCAGGUUAUGCAUUUGAAAUCAUGUAUGACUAAUGCAUAGAAUAGAGAUAUAAGAAUAUAUGAUCAUUAUGCUCAAAGGGGAGGAAUAAUAACUUGCCUUGCUCUAACGCAAAUAAAUCCAAGAUAGGCAACCUGAUUAUCCGAUUCUCGAAAUACCAAAGGUUGUCAUCCAAAACACAAUAAACUCUACUGAGAAAGAGGAAGAACCAAAUUCAAUAAAAGCCAUAAAAUAAUAAGAAAACGAUAAACAGCUUAAGAGGGCUAGGGUUUAAGGUAUAACCUAUCUCUUUUGUAGGGCAUAGGGAUUACUGGGCUAAUAUUUUAUGUGGAGGUUCUAGAGGGUUGGAGGCUAAGGUAAAGAGGGAAUCAAGCAACUAAUGUUGCUUAUAUUUUAUGUGAAGGCUCUCGUGAUUUGGAUGAUAGGAAAUAUACUGGAUAGUUGAUAUGGUUAAAUAGGUAUGUGGCUAAUAUGGGUCAAGGUUGGGCUUUUGUAGAAUAGUGGCUAGGGUUUAGUUGUUUAGGCCGAUAUCGAGGUAGGAUAAAUAUCGGCUAGGGUUUUAGGUGUUUGCUAGUCGUCGCUAGAGUUGGACAACAUAACGACUAGAUUUGGUACCAUUUCUAGCCGGUGUCGAUAGACAGCAUAUCGGCUAGAAGAAUAGGAGGUGGGUGCAGGUUUAGUGGGGUGGAAGUGUUACUCCGACAACCAUGAGUGGCGGCGGAGCGGCUAGGGUCACACAAAGCUCGAGAGUUAACUGUGCGGCGUGCAAUGGAGGUCGAGAGGAUAGUGAAGCUCCGACCGCUAUACGCAUCAAGGUGUGGGGUGCCAGGAGCAGCACUUCGACCUUGGGUUUGGUUUUUGCCGGGCUUUACAACCAACGGUCCGACGUAGAGGUUCGUAGACCGCGCGAACGUCCCCAUGGAAGGCGUAAAGUUCCAACCGAUGGCCUUUAAGUGGCUAAAGGGUAUUUUGGAGAUAAAAGAAAAUAUUUGAAAAGCAAAUAUAAGUUUAAGUUGUAAAUUCAAUCAUAAGAUUAAAUCAAAUAUUUAUUCAAAUGGUAUUUGAAUAAAUUAAGGAAAUUCAAAUAAAAUAUUAAAAUAGCAAAUUUGGUAUGAAAAUGAAGAGUUUGAAUUUAGAUGAAUUUAGGUCCAAAUUUCACUAGAAUCGGAUCUACAGUUUAGGAGAUAUGGGCUUCUAAAGAUUGGAUUUUGAGUUAAAUAAAGAAAAGCGAAAUAGUACUGUGCAGGGGCCCACCUGUCAGUAUCUUUUCUUUUUCUUUUUCUCCUUCUUCCUCCCGUCUCUUCCUUCUUUUCUCCUCUUUCCAGCACGAGCAGCAGAGGAGAAGGAGAGG